RNAcentral lists this ribosomal RNA (506 nucleotides) under uncultured bacterium. RNAcentral's name for it is "partial 16S ribosomal RNA". It matches the Rfam family "Bacterial small subunit ribosomal RNA", at positions 28 to 523 of the family's 1533-position model. The record is from RNAcentral.
GAUGAACGCUAGCUACAGGCUUAACACAUGCAAGUCGAGGGGUAACGAGAGGGAAGCUUGCUUUCCUUGUCGACGACCGGCGCACGGGUGAGUAACGCGUAUCCAACCUGCCCCCAACUAGGGAAUAACCUUGCGAAAGUAAGACUAAUACCCUAUAAUUUCCUCAGAUGUCAUCUGACGAGGAAUAAAGAUUUAUCGGUUGUGGAUGGGGAUGCGUCUGAUUAGCUUGUUGGCGGGGUAACGGCCCACCAAGGCAACGAUCAGUAGGGGUUCUGGGAGGAAGGUCCCCCACAUUGGAACUGAGACACGGUCCAAACUCCUACGGGAGGCAGCAGUGAGGAAUAUUGGGCAAUGGGCGGAAGCCUGAACCAGCCAAGUAGCGUGCAGGAUGACGGCCCUAUGGGUUGUAAACUGCUUUUAUACAGGAAUAAAGUUAGCCACGUGUGGUUAUUUGUAGGUACUGUAUGAAUAAGGACCGGCUAAUUCCGUGCCAGCCGCCGCGGUAA